This 432-nucleotide ribosomal RNA is filed under the name uncultured bacterium. RNAcentral describes it as "partial 16S ribosomal RNA". It matches the Rfam family "Bacterial small subunit ribosomal RNA", at positions 29 to 506 of the family's 1533-position model. The record is from RNAcentral.
AACGAACGCUGGCGGCAUGCCUAACACAUGCAAGUCGAACGAGACCUUCGGGUCUAGUGGCGCACGGGUGCGUAACGCGUGGGAACCUGCCCUUAGGUUCGGAAUAACUCCCCGAAAGGGGUGCUAAUACCGGAUAAUGUCUUCGGACCAAAGAUUUAUCGCCUUUGGAUGGGCCCGCGUUGGAUUAGCUAGUUGGUAGGGUAAAAGCCUACCAAGGCGACGAUCCAUAGCUGGUCUGAGAGGAUGAUCAGCCACACUGGGACUGAGACACGGCCCAGACCCAUGCGGGAGGGAGGAGGGGGGAAUAUUGGACAAGGGGCGAAAGCCUGACCCAGCAGUGCCGGGUGAGUGAGGAAGGCUUUAGGGUUUAAAAGCUUUUUUCCCCGGGAUGAUAAUAAGAGACCCGGGGAAAAAAGCCGGGGUAAACCCGGG